GGGCCCGCACAAGCGGUGGAGCAUGUGGUUUAAUUCGAAGCAACGCGAAGAACCUUACCAGUCCUUGACAUGGGUAGUUUGGAUUUUGGAGACAAUCUCCUUCAGUUCGGCUGGCUACCACACAGGUGCUGCACGGCUGUCGUCAGCUCGUGUCGUGAGAUGUUGGUUAAGUCCCGCAACGAGCGCAACCCUCAUCUUUAGUUGCCAUCAGUUCGGCUGGGCACUCUAGAGAAACUGCCUGCGAUGAGCAGGAGGAAGGCGGGGACGACGUCAAGUCAUCAUGGCCCUUAUGGACUGGGCUACACACGUGCUACAAUGGCGGUGACAAUGGGCAGCGACAGAGCGAUCUGAAG
RNAcentral lists this ribosomal RNA (353 nucleotides) under uncultured bacterium. Its description in RNAcentral is "bacterial SSU rRNA". It matches the Rfam family "Bacterial small subunit ribosomal RNA", at positions 917 to 1267 of the family's 1533-position model. The record is from RNAcentral.